RNAcentral lists this ribosomal RNA (471 nucleotides) under Microsporidia sp. Its description in RNAcentral is "bacterial SSU rRNA". It matches the Rfam family "Microsporidia small subunit ribosomal RNA", at positions 200 to 696 of the family's 1311-position model. Lineage: Eukaryota; Fungi; Microsporidia. The record is from RNAcentral.
CUACCAAGACAGUGACGGUUGACGGGGAAUUAGGGUUUUAUACCGGAGAGGGAGCCUGAGAGAUUGCUCCCACGUCCAAGGACGGCAGCAGGCGCGAAAAUUGCCCACUGUUUGUAGGAGGCAGUUAUGAGACGUGAAGAAGAAUAUUUGGCAAAGAGAAAUAGGAGAAUUGGAGGGCAAGUUUGGUGCCAGCAGCCGCGGUAAUACCGACUCCAAGAGUGUGUAUGGGAGAUGCUGCAGUUAAAAAGUCCGUAGUCAUGUAUAUGUAAAUCGAGGUGGAUGCCUCUGAAAGAAAGUAUGGAAGAACCAAUGGGGAAGACAGUAUACCAGGGCGAGAGAUGAAAUGUCAAGACCCCUGGUGGACUAAGCGAGGCGAAAGCGGUUUCCUUGUGGGGAUUUGAUGAUCAAGGACGAAGGGUGGAGGAUCGAAAGUGAUUAGAUACCGCAGUAGUUCCAGCAGUAAAAGAUGCC